This 497-nucleotide ribosomal RNA is filed under the name uncultured bacterium. RNAcentral's name for it is "partial 16S ribosomal RNA". It matches the Rfam family "Bacterial small subunit ribosomal RNA", at positions 28 to 507 of the family's 1533-position model. The record is from RNAcentral.
GAUGAACGCUGGCGGCAUGCCUAAUACAUGCAAGUCGAGCGGACGGACGUGAUUCUUGCUUUUCUGAUGUUAGCGGCGGACGGGUGCGUACCACUUGGAUAACCUCCCUAUCUGACUGCGACUACUUCUGGACCCCGGGGCUAAUACCAGAUAAUAUUAUCCACCGCAUGGUUCAAUAGCGACUGACUGUCUUGCUGUUACUUCUAUAUGUUUCCGCGCUGCAUGAGCUAGUGGGUAAGGUAACGGCUUACCAAGACAACGAUGCAUAGCCGACCUGAGAGGGUGAUCGGACACACUGGAACAGAGACACGGGCCAGACUCCUACGGGAGGCAGCAGUAGGGAAUCUUGCGCGAUGGGAGAGAGCAAGACGGAGCAACGCCGCGUGAGUGAUGAAGGUAUUGGGAUCGGAAAACACAGUGAUUAGGGAAGAACAUAUGUGUAAGUAACAGUGCAAAUAAUGACGGUACCUAAGCAGAAAGCCACGGCUAACUACGUG